CACGUAGGGGGCAAGCGUUGUCCGGAUUUAUUGGGCGUAAAGAGCUCGUAGGCGGUUUCGUAAGUCGGAUGUGAAAACUCCAGGCUCAACUUGGAGACGCCAUUCGAUACUGGCAGACUUGAGUGUGGUAGAGGCAAUCGGAAUUCCAGGUGUAGCGGUGAAAUGCGUAGAUAUCUGGAAGAACACCGGUGGCGCAAGCGGAUUGCUGGGCCAUAACUGACACUGAGGAACGAAAGCUAGGGGAGCAAAUGGG
Molecule: ribosomal RNA, 253 nt
Filed under: uncultured bacterium
Lineage: Bacteria
Description: partial 16S ribosomal RNA
Rfam family: Bacterial small subunit ribosomal RNA
Source: RNAcentral